Molecule: ribosomal RNA, 253 nt
Filed under: uncultured bacterium
Lineage: Bacteria
Description: partial 16S ribosomal RNA
Rfam family: Bacterial small subunit ribosomal RNA
Source: RNAcentral
GACAGAGGGUGCAAACGUUGUUCGGAAUUACUGGGCGUAAAGCGCGUGUAGGCGGCCCUGCAAGUCGGGUGUGAAAUCCCACGGCUCAACCGUGGAAGUGCACUCGAAACUGCAGGGCUAGAGUCCUGGAGAGGAAGGUGGAAUGCUUGGUGUAGAGGUGAAAUUCGUAGAUAUCGAGAGGAACACCUGCGGCGAAGGCGGGUUGCUGGGCUGACACUGACGCUGAAGCGCGAAAGCUAGGGGAGCGAACGGG